CCUACGGGAGGCAGCAGUGGGGAAUUUUGAUACAAUGCGCAGCAAGCCUGAUCCAGCCAUUCCGCGUGCAGGAUGAAGGCCCUCGGGUUGUAAACUGCUUUUGUACGGAACGAAAAGGCUCUGGUUAAUACCCGGGGCUCAUGACGGUACCGUAAGAAUAAGCACCGGCUAACUACGUGCCAGCAGCCGCGGUAAU
RNAcentral lists this ribosomal RNA (196 nucleotides) under uncultured bacterium. RNAcentral's name for it is "partial 16S ribosomal RNA". It matches the Rfam family "Bacterial small subunit ribosomal RNA", at positions 338 to 524 of the family's 1533-position model. The record is from RNAcentral.